RNAcentral lists this ribosomal RNA (701 nucleotides) under uncultured Pseudomonadota bacterium. RNAcentral's name for it is "bacterial SSU rRNA". It matches the Rfam family "Bacterial small subunit ribosomal RNA", at positions 68 to 765 of the family's 1533-position model. Lineage: Bacteria; Pseudomonadati; Pseudomonadota. The record is from RNAcentral.
GCGAAAGCUCCUUCGGGAGUGAGUAGAGUGGCGAACGGGUGAGUAAUACGUAGGAAUCUACCCAAGAGUGGGGGAUAACCCGGGGAAACUCGGGCUAAUACCGCAUACGCCCUACGGGGUAAAGCGGGGGACCUUCGGGCCUCGCGCUUUUGGAUGAGCCUACGCCGGAUUAGCUUGUUGGUAGGGUAACGGCCUACCAAGGCGACGAUCCGUAGCUGGUCUGAGAGGAUGAUCAGCCACACUGGGACUGAGACACGGCCCAGACUCCUACGGGAGGCAGCAGUGGGGAAUAUUGGACAAUGGGGGAAACCCUGAUCCAGCCAUGCCGCGUGUGUGAAGAAGGCCUUCGGGUUGUAAAGCACUUUCAGAAGGGAAGAAAAGCCUGGGGCCAAUACCCCCGGGUCUUGACGGUACCUUCAGAAGAAGCACCGGCUAACUCCGUGCCAGCAGCCGCGGUAAUACGGAGGGUGCAAGCGUUAAUCGGAAUUACUGGGCGUAAAGCGCGCGUAGGUGGUUUGGUAAGUCGGGUGUGAAAGCCCUGGGCUCAACCUGGGAAUUGCAUUCGAUACUGCCUGACUAGAGUGUGGUAGAGGGAAGUGGAAUUCCGCAUGCAGCGGUGAAAUGCGUAGAGAUGCGGAGGAACACCAAUGGCGAAGGCAACUUCCUGGACCAACACUGACACUGAGGUGCGAAAGCGUGGG